CUUUGUUUCGCUCUGUGUGCCCAUGCUCCUUCGGGGGCGGUCAUGGAUGCGGAGAUUGGCCCUCCGUGCCUCGUGUGCGGCGGGCUUAAGCGCGGGCUGUCGGCGUCGGGUUGGGCACGACGAGUGGUGGACGGAGCACCAGCAGGAUGUCGUGGUCCCUCGUCGCCUUAAGGGGGGGCUCAAGAGACCCGGACUAGGCGAGCCGUGCUCCGUACGGGGAGGGCAGGCCGUCUCGCAGU
Molecule: unclassified non-coding RNA, 239 nt
Filed under: Lilium auratum
Lineage: Eukaryota; Viridiplantae; Streptophyta; Magnoliopsida; Liliales; Liliaceae
Description: ITS 2
Source: RNAcentral